UGCAGGAUCAAACCCAGGUAGCAUUCCUUAGAGACAUCGGGUCGUAAGACGCAUAACAUCUAAGCGACACCAAACGUCGUUCGAAAGGGGCGUGUAAUGCCAAUUUGUGGGCAAAUAGAGGUCGAGGACCCCGUACCCGUAACGUUUUCUGCAUCCCAAGGGUCUGUGAAUAUCAUGGGCCGAGAUUACAACGCAAUGCGCAUGCAAUUCGGAACACAAAUUCCACUUUGAGGUUCACCCGAAGCCGCACCGUGCAAACGGGCAACAGUGGGCGAACAUGCGGAUAAUGGGCCAACAAAUUCCAUCAAUGUAGGUAUGCAACACAGGAAACCAGCCGCACGGCCAAGGCUAAAGCAGCUCUUGUGCCAACGAUUGAAGAGGAACGCACGGGAGGACGUCGCUGCCCAAGCAGGGAUCCAA
RNAcentral lists this unclassified non-coding RNA (420 nucleotides) under Chassalia vanderystii. Its description in RNAcentral is "partial external transcribed spacer". Lineage: Eukaryota; Viridiplantae; Streptophyta; Magnoliopsida; Gentianales; Rubiaceae. The record is from RNAcentral.